This 506-nucleotide ribosomal RNA is filed under the name uncultured bacterium. RNAcentral's name for it is "partial 16S ribosomal RNA". It matches the Rfam family "Bacterial small subunit ribosomal RNA", at positions 29 to 523 of the family's 1533-position model. The record is from RNAcentral.
AGUGAACGCUGGCGGUAGGCCUAACACAUGCAAGUCGAACGGCAGCACAGAGGAGCUUGCUCCUUGGGUGGCGAGUGGCGGACGGGUGAGGAAUACAUCGGAAUCUACUCUGUCGUGGGGGAUAACGUAGGGAAACUUACGCUAAUACCGCAUACGACCUACGGGUGAAAGCAGGGGAUCUUCGGACCUUGCGCGAUUGAAUGAGCCGAUGUCGGAUUAGCUAGUUGGCGGGGUAAAGGCCCACCAAGGCGACGAUCCGUAGCUGGUCUGAGAGGAUGAUCAGCCAAACUGGAACUGAGACACGGUCCAGACUCCUACGGGAGGCAGCAGUGGGGAAUAUUGGACAAUGGGCGCAAGCCUGAUUCAGCCAUACCGCGUGGGUGAAGAAGGCCUUCGGGUUGUAAAGCCCUUUUGUUGGGAAAGAAAUCCAUCUGGUUAAUACCCGGGUGGGAUGACGGUACCCAAAGAAUAAGCACCGGCUAACUUCGUGCCAGCAGCCGCCGUAA